This is a long non-coding RNA of Cyclopterus lumpus (lumpfish), 899 nucleotides long. RefSeq lists it as uncharacterized. The record is from RefSeq and is a predicted model, not a curated record. The transcript has 3 exons. NCBI's taxonomy places the organism in Eukaryota, Metazoa, Chordata, Actinopteri, Perciformes, Cyclopteridae.
AGAUUAUGGCCGCAGACCCAAAUGAACCUUCCAACACAUUGUUGCCCGAGGAUGGAGAUCCUUUUCUCCCACACCAACGCUCUCAGUAAAUCAGCUCCCAUGAAUGAGAACACAAGGAACCUCUUUCUGCCCCGUUCGCCUGGUUUGACCCUCACUGUUGGGAGGUCACCAGUCUAUCUGUGGAGUUAGACGUGGAUGAUAAGGACCAACGGUGGCGGGAACUGGGGAGUCGAGGUGCUUUGUGAAGGAGACUGCAUUCUUUAGGAGGAUGAAGACAACCAGAGCAGGGCGGCAGGCUUUAAAAAAAAACAUAAUAUACCAUCACAUGACCUUUUUUACACAUACUAUAAUACUAUAUUACUUUUUGAAAUACGAUACCUCGAACUUGGUGUGACUUUUUGACAAAAAUAAACUUGUUUAGUAUUCGUGACAGACUACAAUGGCUUUUUACACCCGUUUAACGUAUACAAGGAUUAUAUUUGAUGAACUAUGAAUUCUUUAGGACUUAUUUUGACAUUAUAUUAUGGCUUUUAUUGACUAUUUGAAGACAUUAUUACUUUGCAAUGAUGUAAUUUGACAAUACUGUUUCAGGGUAAAAAAAAACAACAAAAAGCUAAUUUUCUAUGUUGGCAUAGAAAAUGUUGCCGUAAUGGAACCUGGAUGUGUGCAGCAGCACGUGACAGUUUGGAGCGACUGGAGAGUAUAAGGUAAACAAACUAUGACUUCAGGUUUUAUGCAUUCAGUUUUUAACAUCUUUGAGGAGCAGACUCUGAAACUGGCUGAAGCCGUUUCAGAGUCCACAAUCUAUAAAGCUGGUUUCUUCACAGUGUGAUUUGAAAGCAUGCAGUCUGGUCUGAACCCUGUGGAGUUUCUAACAGAGACAUUCAGUGUUCUUCACU